UGUUAGCGGCGGACGGGUGAGUAACACGUGGGUAACCUGCCUGUAAGACUGGGAUAACUCCGGGAAACCGGGGCUAAUACCGGAUGCUUGUUUGAACCGCAUGGUUCAAACAUAAAAGGUGGCUUCGGCUACCACUUACAGAUGGACCCGCGGCGCAUUAGCUAGUUGGUGAGGUAAUGGCUCACCAAGGCAACGAUGCGUAGCCGACCUGAGAGGGUGAUCGGCCACACUGGGACUGAGACACGGCCCAGACUCCUACGGGAGGCAGCAGUAGGGAAUCUUCCGCAAUGGACGAAAGUCUGACGGAGCAACGCCGCGUGAGUGAUGAAGGUUUUCGGAUCGUAAAGCUCUGUUGUUAGGGAAGAACAAGUGCCGUUCAAAUAGGGCGGCACCUUGACGGUACCUAACCAGAAAGCCACGGCUAACUACGUGCCAGCAGCCGCGGUAAUACGUAGGUGGCAAGCGUUGUCCGGAAUUAUUGGGCGUAAAGGGCUCGCAGGCGGUUUCUUAAGUCUGAUGUGAAAGCCCCCGGCUCAACCGGGGAGGGUCAUUGGAAACUGGGGAACUUGAGUGCAGAAGAGGAGAGUGGAAUUCCACGUGUAGCGGUGAAAUGCGUAGAGAUGUGGAGGAACACCAGUGGCGAAGGCGACUCUCUGGUCUGUAACUGACGCUGAGGAGCGAAAGCGUGGG
This 690-nucleotide ribosomal RNA is filed under the name bacterium. RNAcentral describes it as "bacterial SSU rRNA". It matches the Rfam family "Bacterial small subunit ribosomal RNA", at positions 90 to 765 of the family's 1533-position model. The record is from RNAcentral.